UUCAAAUUGAGAGUUUGAUCCUGGCUCAGGAUGAACGCUGGCGGCGUGCCUAAUACAUGCAAGUCGAACGCACAGCGAAAGGUGCUUGCAUCUUUCAAGUGAGUGGCGAACGGGUGAGUAACACGUGGACAACCUGCCUCAAGGCUGGGGAUAACAUUUGGAAACAGAUGCUAAUACCGAAUAAAACUUAGAGUCGCAUGACACAAAGUUAAAAGGCGCUUCGGCGUCACCUAGAGAUGGAUCCGCGGUGCAUUAGUUAGUUGGUGGGGUAAAGGCCUACCAAGACAAUGAUGCAUAGCCGAGUUGAGAGACUGAUCGGCCACAUUGGGACUGAGACACGGCCCAAACUCCUACGGGAGGCUGCAGUAGGGAAUCUUCCACAAUGGGCGAAAGCCUGAUGGAGCAACGCCGCGUGUGUGAUGAAGGCUUUCGGGUCGUAAAGCACUGUUGUAUGGGAAGAACAGCUAGAAUAGGAAAUGAUUUUAGUUUGACGGUACCAUACCAGAAAGGGACGGCUAAAUACGUGCCAGCAGCCGCGGUAAUACGUAUGUCCCGAGCGUUAUCCGGAUUUAUUGGGCGUAAAGCGAGCGCAGACGGUUUAUUAAGUCUGAUGUGAAAGCCCGGAGCUCAACUCCGGAAUGGCAUUGGAAACUGGUUAACUUGAGUGCAGUAGAGGUAAGUGGAACUCCAUGUGUAGCGGUGGAAUGCGUAGAUAUAUGGAAGAACACCAGUGGCGAAGGCGGCUUACUGGACUGCAACUGACGUUGAGGCUCGAAAGUGUGGGUAGCAAACAGGAUUAGAUACCCUGGUAGUCCACACCGUAAACGAUGAACACUAGGUGUUAGGAGGUUUCCGCCUCUUAGUGCCGAAGCUAACGCAUUAAGUGUUCCGCCUGGGGAGUACGACCGCAAGGUUGAAACUCAAAGGAAUUGACGGGGACCCGCACAAGCGGUGGAGCAUGUGGUUUAAUUCGAAGCAACGCGAAGAACCUUACCAGGUCUUGACAUCCUUUGAAGCUUUUAGAGAUAGAAGUGUUCUCUUCGGAGACAAAGUGACAGGUGGUGCAUGGUCGUCGUCAGCUCGUGUCGUGAGAUGUUGGGUUAAGUCCCGCAACGAGCGCAACCCUUAUUGUUAGUUGCCAGCAUUCAGAUGGGCACUCUAGCGAGACUGCCGGUGACAAACCGGAGGAAGGCGGGGACGACGUCAGAUCAUCAUGCCCCUUAUGACCUGGGCUACACACGUGCUACAAUGGCGUAUACAACGAGUUGCCAACCCGCGAGGGUGAGCUAAUCUCUUAAAGUACGUCUCAGUUCGGAUUGUAGUCUGCAACUCGACUACAUGAAGUCGGAAUCGCUAGUAAUCGCGGAUCAGCACGCCGCGGUGAAUACGUUCCCGGGUCUUGUACACACCGCCCGUCACACCAUGGGAGUUUGUAAUGCCCAAAGCCGGUGGCCUAACCUUUUAGGAAGGAGCCGUCUAAGGCAGGACAGAUGACUGGGGUGAAGUCGUAACAAGGUAGCCGUAGGAGAACCUGCGGCUGGAUCACCUCCUUUCUAAGGAUAAUCGGAAA
Molecule: ribosomal RNA, 1570 nt
Filed under: Leuconostoc mesenteroides P45
Lineage: Bacteria; Bacillati; Bacillota; Bacilli; Lactobacillales; Lactobacillaceae
Description: bacterial SSU rRNA
Rfam family: Bacterial small subunit ribosomal RNA
Source: RNAcentral